Long non-coding RNA from Zea mays, 861 nucleotides. RefSeq lists it as uncharacterized. The annotation marks the transcript as partial. The record is from RefSeq and is marked validated. Lineage: Eukaryota; Viridiplantae; Streptophyta; Magnoliopsida; Poales; Poaceae. The transcript has a single exon.
AUCCGUCGCCAGUUCCUUAAUCCUCAUCCAGCGUGGGAUUUUUUUGGUUGCCGACCCAGCCUGUCUUCCACCUCCGUCGCUCCCUGGUGGCCAUGGCGAGCUCCCCUGCGAUGCGCCUCCACGUCCCAGGCCAGCUCGGCCUCCUCCCUAGCACCGUCCCUUCUCCUCCCUGCUGCAGCUCGCCCAUCUCCCUGAACCCCUCCACCGCGCCCCUCUCCCUGGCUUCCGAGCUUCAACCAUGGUGUACGGCGAGAUGGGGCUCGGGUACAUGUACCACUGCAUCACCAUGGGGAGAUCACCAGGGCCUCCGGUGCCGUCGGUCUCUUCUACGGCGCACACCCUGUCUUCUUCCUCCAGACCCGUCACUCCACCGGCCGUGCUUGUCUGCAGUGCCCAUGGCCGGUCCGCGCUCGCGCCCACACGAAGCAUCAGGAGUUCAGGUGCGCCGAACGGGGGGAAGAAGCAGCCAACCACACUCGCUACUCACCAGUCAUCUUCCUCGCCUUGUCGCCGCUCGCCGUCGCUUGUCUUCAGCUUGAUCCCCGCUCGUCAUGGCUUGUCUUCAGCUCGUUCAUCUUCAUGCUCGGCCCUGACUCUACCAGCGCUCCCCUCGUCGAGCUCGUGGUCGUGCUUCUAUUCCUCGCUCCCUCUGUGUUCGAUGAAAUGUCGAGCUAGGAAUCAAUGACCUCGCCUCGUCCUCGCAAUUGUGGUUGGCUUGUGUCGUUGCCUGCCCCACCGUGGUGCUCACCAAAACACCUGAACCCGAGUUUCGUCGCCGUCCGUGCGAAUAUCAUGCUGGUUCGAUCUUGGUAAGCAAAGUAGUUAUUCAUGUUAUUUAAAUUGAUGAAUGGAUUGGUUGUA